UUGAACAAUUUACCUGAACGGCCGGGCCACGAACCGGCGACCUAUCCUUCAAAUGUCUGCCUUAUCAACUUUCGAUGGUAGAUUAUGCGCCUACCAUGGUUGUAACGGGUAACGGAGAAUCAGGGUUUGAUUCCGGAGAGGGAGCCUGAGAAACGGCUACCACAUCCAAGGGAGGCAGCAGGCACGCCAAUUACCCACUCCCGGCACGGGGGAGGUAGUGACGAAAAAUAACCAGCUGGUCUCAAUGAGUUCCGGCAUUGUGUGGGAACAAUUUAAAUCAUUUAUCGAGGAUCUAUUGGAGGACGAGUCUGGUGCCGCCAGCCGCGGUAAUUCCUCCUCCUACACCGGAGAUUAAAGUUGUUGCGGUUAAAAAG
RNAcentral lists this ribosomal RNA (374 nucleotides) under Nematoda sp. RNAcentral describes it as "bacterial SSU rRNA". It matches the Rfam family "Eukaryotic small subunit ribosomal RNA", at positions 252 to 626 of the family's 1831-position model. The record is from RNAcentral. Lineage: Eukaryota; Metazoa; Nematoda.